This 208-nucleotide long non-coding RNA is filed under the name Elaeis guineensis (African oil palm). Its description in RNAcentral is "long non-coding RNA (EGUI_LNC030138)". The record is from RNAcentral. Lineage: Eukaryota; Viridiplantae; Streptophyta; Magnoliopsida; Arecales; Arecaceae.
GAUUUCUCUUUUUAUGAUUGAUUCAAUAAAAAAUUUUCUUUCAAUAAUUCUAAUCUGAUCUUAAUUAAGAGAAUUUUAAUCCGUAGUCAUCGGAUAGCAUAACGACACCCAUCUUGAUCAGAUUAGGAUAUUUCUAGAUUUGAAACAUCUCUAUCCUAAUCUAAUCUAUGAGAUGCACUUAAUUUUUAAUUUGAUUCUAAGUGGGGGU